GAGUUUGAUCAUGGCUCAGGGUGAACGCUGGCGGCGUGCUUAACACAUGCAAGUCGAGCGAAGCGUAUUUGCGGAAGUUUUCGGAUGGAAGCGGAUGCGACUUAGCGGCGGACGGGUGAGUAACGCGUGGGCAACCUGCCUCAUACAGGGGGAUAACAGUUAGAAAUGACUGCUAAUACCGCAUAAGCGCACAGGACCGCAUGGUCUGGUGUGAAAAACUCCGGUGGUAUGAGAUGGACCCGCGUCUGAUUAGCUGGUUGGCGGGGUAACGGCCCACCAAGGCGACGAUCAGUAGCCGACCUGAGAGGGUGGCCGGCCACAUUGGGACUGAGACACGGCCCAAACUCCUACGGGAGGCAGCAGUGGGGAAUAUUGCACAAUGGGGGAAACCCUGAUGCAGCAACGCCGCGUGAGUGAAGAAGUAUUUCGGUAUGUAAAGCUCUAUCAGCAGGGAAGAAGAAAGACGGUACCUGACUAAGAAGCCCCGGCUAACUACGUGCCAGCAGCCGCGGUAAUACGUAGGGGGCAAGCGUUAUCCGGAUUUACUGGGUGUAAAGGGAGCGUAGACGGCAUAGCAAGUCUGAAGUGAAAGCCCGUGGCUCAACCGCGGAACUGCUUUGGAAACUGUUAAGCUGGAGUACUGGAGAGGCAAGCGGAAUUCCUAGUGUAGCGGUGAAAUGCGUAGAUAUUAGGAGGAACACCAGUGGCGAAGGCGGCUUGCUGGACAGAGACUGACGUUGAGGCUCGAAAGCGUGGGGAGCAAACAGGAUUAGAUACCCUGGUAGUCCACGCGGUAAACGAUGAAUGCUAGGUGUUGGCGGGCAAAGCCCGUCGGUGCCGCCGCAAACGCAUUAAGCAUUCCACCUGGGGAGUACGUUCGCAAGAAUGAAACUCAAAGGAAUUGACGG
This 908-nucleotide ribosomal RNA is filed under the name uncultured bacterium. Its description in RNAcentral is "bacterial SSU rRNA". It matches the Rfam family "Bacterial small subunit ribosomal RNA", at positions 9 to 916 of the family's 1533-position model. The record is from RNAcentral.